RNAcentral lists this ribosomal RNA (460 nucleotides) under uncultured bacterium. RNAcentral's name for it is "partial 16S ribosomal RNA". It matches the Rfam family "Bacterial small subunit ribosomal RNA", at positions 338 to 795 of the family's 1533-position model. The record is from RNAcentral.
CCUACGGGGGGCAGCAGUGAGGAAUAUUGGUCAAUGGGCGCGAGCCUGAACCAGCCAAGUAGCGUGAAGGAUGACUGCCCUACGGGUUGUAAACUUCUUUUAUAAAGGAAUAAAGUGAUGCACGUGUGCCUUUUUGUAUGUACUUUAUGAAUAAGGAUCGGCUAACUCCGUGCCAUCAGCCGCGGUAAUACGGAGAAUCCGAGCGUUAUCCGGAUUUAUUGGGUUUAAGGGGAGCGUAGAUGGGUUGUUAAGUCAGUUGUGAAAGUUUGCGGCUCAACCGUAAAAUUGCAAUUGAUACUGGCAGUCUUGAGUACAGUUGAGGUAGGCGGAAUUCGUGGUGUAGCGGUGAAAUGCUUAGAUAUCACGAAGAACUCCGAUUGCGAAGGCAGCUUACUAAACUGCAACUGACAUUGAUGCUCGAAAGUGUGGGUAUCAAACAGGAUUAGAUACCCCAGUAGUC